CCACACAGAGUGUAACGGCUGAUGGCAAAAGCAUGUUUCUUGCCGCCAGAGUCGCCAUGAUCUUCGGCGGUUGCUGGAGGCUGGAGCUUCCGACCAAUUCGUCACUGUGGAGGCAUUUCUAUUCUGUAUACUCGAUUUUGGCGUAUGUAAUGAUUGGCACAUCGGCGUUUUCAUUGGGUGCGAAUGUACCGUCUUUGUUAGAAAUGAAUGUCUUAACAGCGAUAGAAUGCGGCGCUCAAGGAUUAUUUUGUGCAGUCUUGGUGGCCAAAAUGAUAGCUUGCCAGUCUAAAGGCAACAUUCAAUUAAUACGAUCUGCCAGAUGUCAAGAAAUGCAAUUAUUGACUCAAGAAGCAACCAUAUUAACUCGCAUAUACAACCAACAUAUAAAGUACUGCUACAAGCUGACCAUAAGCAUAAGUGUCGUAUCUAUAUCGACGUCCGUGGCGGUGGUGGAACAUGGGAUUAGAGAAAAUGUUUUAUUUAACUUCCACAACAAAAAUACCACCCUGGAAGGUCCGCAUACCAUGUAUUUCUGGUAUCCAUUCGAAACGAAAAAUUACCACACGUGGGUUUUAAUAGAUGAAUCCGUUAGGGCGUUUUUUAUUGGAAUAUGUAACGUAUCCGUGAACGUAUUCAUAAAUUCCGUGAUGAUAUUUCUCAGAGCACAACUGGUAGUCCUCCAACAGGAAUUUAGAAAUUUUUGUGAUAAGAGUGGUAAAAGGAAAGUCGCGGGGUCCAAGUUAUUAAGAGUGUUGUGCCUUAAGCAUCAAAAAUUAAUCAAGUACUACGAAAAUUUCAACGACUCGUUAAAGUUUCUAGUGCUUUUGGAAUACGUUAUGUCUUCUCUUAUAACUGCGUCAACAAUAAUUGAGAUUAUCUCGGGACAAAACGUCACAUUCAGUGUCGGAUUGUUCCUAACCAAUUUCGGAGGGCUUAUGAUUAUCGCGUGGAAUUCCAACGAAAUCAUACUACAGUCGUCUGUUGCAGAGUGCUGCCUUGGCUACAGCGCUUUAUGAAAGUGGGUGGUACUACCAAGAUCACGAAACGCAAGUUUUGCUGCACCUGAUGAUGAUUAGAUGUCAGAAACCUCUGACGAUUUCCAUUGGACCUUUUGGAUCCAUGACGGUAGAUGCAGGGAUGUCAAGACUGAGACUGGCGUAUUCCUAUACUACAGUUAUGGGUCGCAAGAUGUAGCACUUAGCAUAAGUUCCUUUCUUUGUCCUUACUUACCGUUAUACUUCAAAAAUCAUUUAAACACGUAUGAUAUGCACGUAUUGUAAAUAAG
Cylas formicarius (sweet potato weevil) is the source of this 1285-nucleotide RNA transcript. It is a transcript of the gene named odorant receptor 49b-like, with no coding region annotated. The transcript has 7 exons. The record is from RefSeq and is a predicted model, not a curated record. NCBI's taxonomy places the organism in Eukaryota, Metazoa, Arthropoda, Insecta, Coleoptera, Brentidae.